Unclassified non-coding RNA from Papio anubis (olive baboon), 148 nucleotides. It matches the Rfam family "Metazoan signal recognition particle RNA". Rfam says of the family: The signal recognition particle (SRP) is a universally conserved ribonucleoprotein. It is involved in the co-translational targeting of proteins to membranes. The record is from Ensembl. Lineage: Eukaryota; Metazoa; Chordata; Mammalia; Primates; Cercopithecidae.
GCCAGGCAUGGUGGCACGUGCCUGUAAUCCCAGCUACUCAGGAGGCUGAGGCAGGAGAAUUGCUUGAACCCAGGAGAUGGAGGUUGCAGUGAGCUGAGAUUAUACCACUGCACUCCACCCUGGGCGACAGAGUGAGACCCUGUCUCAA